RNAcentral lists this long non-coding RNA (6364 nucleotides) under Sus scrofa (pig). RNAcentral's name for it is "lncRNA (ENSSSCG00000056874.1)". Lineage: Eukaryota; Metazoa; Chordata; Mammalia; Artiodactyla; Suidae. The record is from RNAcentral.
UAGAACUUCUUCACAAAAGAUCAACAGCCACUAAAAAUAUUUUAGUGUUGAGUUGUCAAAAGAAAGAUCCAUUCAGGAAGUAAUAAACUCCUUUCAUUCAAUUAAAAUAAACAAGAAAAGCUGUUUACUUUGGUUAACUGUGGCCUCUUAAUAAGACCUUGUGUUCCUCCCCUAAACUGCGGUUCUUUAUGACACACUUUCAUUUUUGCUUCCAAGGCUGUCCGUAACACAUUAUAGUGGAAAUGAUUUUGUUGCUGUUUGUUUUUAAUUUUGACCAAUAUAUUUUCCACAUGGGAAGGGAUGAAAGAGAAAUGCAUAGAAAGUAAAAAGAUAAAGAAUAAUGUGAUAAGGGUGGUUAAAAUAAAUAUAAUACCAAGAAAAAAAAUAUUGGAUUUAUUUUAGGGAGCAAUUUUGACAAAUCUGAAUAAAAGCACUUUGAAACCGAUACUCAGUUCUCCACAAGCAUCACAAAUGUUUAUAUUUCAUAGCCUAAUUCAGAUUAAUUUCAUCUACCAAAUAUUACAACAACAUCUGAAAUCAACCUACAAAACUGUGUGAUGCGUGAAAGAAAUCUGAAUUAAUAAGUUGGGAUACAUGUGUCCUUGUACUAUUUUUUAACUUAAUUUUCUGUAUGAAUUUAUUCAAGUAAUAUAUUUUCUCUAGGUCUGUUUAUUUAAAAAUGAUGAGAACUUGUUUAUAUGCCUUUCAGAGUCGCUUCUAUCUAAAAAUUCAUUUAAAUUUAUAUUUAUAUGGAAAUCUGUCCAUCAUUUCUUUCUUCCUUAAGAAUAUAUUGAGAUAUCAUUUUCGGCAUAAUACUUGGGCUAAAUAAAACACGGUGGAAAGUAGUGGAAGAGACACACCUUAUUUGGAGGAAAUUAUAGGACCUACAGGUGGCAAUGUUUCCUAAGACUAAAGUCAUUUUCAGCCUCUCUAUAUACUUAUUUCUCUUUUCCCCAAUUUCAAAGUCAAGUCUAUCUAUCACUGAAGGAUCGUUAUUAAAUUAUCCAUAGGAUGGGCUUAUCCACAUAUUGCUUGAAUUGAGCACCAUAAUCCCUUUCGAAGCUUCUACUAUCCAUUGAUUCACUAAGUCUUUAAUGAACAGUGAUCAUAAGAUGAACAUUGUGCCAGAUGCCAAGUAUGUUUUGCCAGGGGAAAAUAAAUAAAUAAAUAAAGCUUUGAAUUUGCUCAGAGUUUAAGUGAGAAGAUACAGAAUAACAAGAAAACAAAAAGUUAGUUCACCAUUAUAUUUAAAUUUCAUGGAUGCACACCAACAGGCCAAGUGGUACAAUUAUAUAAAUGACAGGAAUGAGCUACUUGGAUGGAACCAUCACUUUGGUGCUGUUAAAGCCGAGGUCAGAAGUAUGAGAUGGAAUCAUCCAUGGGAAAAGCAAAGGGAAGGACAGGUAUCCAGAGAGCGAGCAGUGCUGAGAGCCUGUGGUAUGACUGCAGAGUGGCCAAAGGUGAGUGAGGUCAGAGGAGCACUGAGAUGCAGUGACAGGACUCUGGAGACUGUCGAAAGUGUUGAUGUUUUAUUUUUUAUUUCAAUGCACAGUGAGGAGUUUUUGAAGGACGAGAAGUUGACAAAUGAUAUGCUCUCAUCUUUUUGGAAAACAAACACAAAAAAUGCACAUCUGUACUGGGAUGCUUGGCUGAGUUGCUGUGUAGUUUUGCCCAUUUUAUUGAUAAGAAAACUAGAAUCAAAGGAGUUACAUAGUCAGUCCAAAAUUCCCACACCUGAAAAGCGGGGGGAACUGAAAAAUAAGCUAUUUUUAUUCGACUCAGAAGUCCUUUCUGAUGGGCCUGCCUGCUUCUCUGUGGUGAAUCAGUUUCAUCAUAGGAUGAAUUCAUCACGGGAUGUUUGAGAACAUAGACUUAUCUACUGAUAACAUUUCACAAAUGAAGGUCUAGAUGCAGAGGGAUGAGAUGGUCGGGGAGAACCUCUCUUAUCCUUGGGCACUGACCAGAGGCCAGGCAAGUGGUGGGUGUGAGAGAGAGUGCAGGUUUAGCGGUACAAUCAUUUUGGCAUAUCAUGCUAUGUAAGGCAAGGCCAGAUACAGAAAACAUGGAAUCUGGACAACACCAGGAAUCUGAAGCUAUGGUAAUGAUUAUUAGCCCAAAAGAGAGAAGUCAGAAAGAUUUGGACUGAGAUUUCAUUGUAAAGGAAAGUGGAAAGGAAUAAAAAUAUAUCACAUAUGAAUAAACAAUUAGGCCUUACUAUAUAGAACAGGGAACUAUAUCCAAACUCCUGGUCCUGGGAUAGACCAUGAGAAUAUUAAAAAACUAUAUACAUAAAACUGAGCUACUUUGCUGUACAGCAAAAAUUAGCACAACUUUGUAAAUCAACUAUAUUUUAAUAAAAAAUUAAAAAUACAUCACAUAUGUGUUCAUCCUGUCUUGAAAACAGAAGGCUACCUCUUGAGCUUCUUCCAUAGCUUAUUUAGUGCUUAUUACUCUUAUUUUGGCAUUAAUGAUUCUAUAAAAUAUUUAUACAGCAUUUGAUAUUGUAUCAAAUUCUAAUUUGCAACAAAAUAUAUUAACCCAGAUUAAAAUCUGUCAGGAAUAAUUACUUUAGAAUCAACUAAACAUACAUUUUAAAAUUAUUUCUUUCAGAAGUAACAAAUGUCACUUUAUACCUAUAAUAGAAAAUACACAAAAUUCUGAAAAAGGCUCUGAGAAGCCUUCCCUGUCCACACACACAUUCACGUAUAUGCUCCCUAGGAAUAGCUGCUCUUAGAGAUGUUUAAACAUAUCCAUCUGUGACUUUUCUGUAGAUGUAAAAAGAUACAUAGAAACCCGCAUGUGAAUCUAACCAGGAUUUCCUCAUCUCUCUCACCAUUCUCCCCUGAGAGCUCACUUUGAGUGGCAAGGCUAUCAGUGUUUCAAGCUUCCUUGCUUCCUUACAUGGUCCUAUUUCACUGGUGACCACUAGUGACCUACCCCACCACUGUUAGGAAUCUGCCUAUUCCCUGUGGCCACAAUGGCACGAAGAAGGAAAAGAGAAACAUGAAAGCUGUUGGAACAGGUUGGCAAGAGUCAGCGAAUAUCAACUGCUCUUGCAACCCAAACCAAAUGAAUAAAACCUUGCAUGUUUCUGAAUCACAUUCUAAAGAUCUCCAUGGAAAACAGCAUCCUGAGGCUUCUUCACCAGAUAUGACUCUAUAGAGGAAUGAAUUCCCCUUCCUGAGGGUCAAAUCCCUCUCUUGCUAUAAUUAAUAGUCUCGUCUCCUGUGGCCAAGUGUCCCUUUCAAGCAGCAGGAGCUGCAGAUUUAAAUUCUAUCAUUUAAACCAGAAUGAAUCCCCCUAGCCUCACUGGAGAUAUCACCCAUGAAAAUAUGAUUAUGCUCCUUUGCUCAUGAAUAGCACCCAUAUAUCAUACCAUAAAUCAUGGAGAUUUUAUUUUAUGAAUUAAACAUGAGGCUUUUCCUUCAUGAUUGAGCUACUCCUUGGGUGGAAAAAAUGGGAAGAUUCUAAUGCUAUACAGUUCUGAGAUCUUUAUCAAAUGGCAUGAAAUCAUCACUCUCUUUGCUCUAAACAUAGGUCAUCAGCAAAUGUCAGCUACCUGGGAAAUGAAGAUGAAUUGAUCCCUGACACCCCAGUGCCAUGCCCUCCCUCCCUUAUCUGAACUGCCAGCUUUAUGUAAUCUCUAUGACUCACUUGGUCCCUGAGACAUUCUUUUGUACUGCUCUUUCCCCUGAACUUGUGUCUCUGAAGCAACCUGAAUGAAAAAAAUCAAGUCUAUUAAAUUUUCAAAUAUUUUUGGCAGAAGAUGAUGAGGACUGCACAAUAGGAAUCAAACUAGAGAGGUUUUAAUGUUGUCAUUCUUUCGUCUCCUUGAUAGCUUUGGCAAGCCAGAGGGAUCCACACACACAGUCUUUUCUGAUAGUUUGCACUUGGUUUCCUAAGGAUGAAUCAAAGGGAACAGGUCUGUGUUUGAAAGGACCACAUAGAGGUUAUUGUUAUAAGACAUAGUAAUGAAGAGAGUCUGGAUUUUGUAGUUCAGAAUUGAACUUUCAUGAGAUUAGGUGAUAAAAGUUCUCUACAACUAAUGGGAGAAGGAGAGGAAAGUGGGAAGAAGCGGGGAAGAAGUGAGUCUUGUGAGAAUGGGUCCCUAUUUAAGCAUCAAGGCAAAGGAUUAAGCAGAGCAGAGAGGGGAAAAGACGAGGCUGAAAUUAGAUGUGGAGAGUCACCAAGAACAAACCACCCCCUUCCCAAUAUUGCCUCAGGACUCCCAGAAAUAAAUCAGAUUAAAAUUUCUUUUUGUUUUGUUUUUUAUAUUUCCCACCAAUGGUAGUCUAGUCUUCCAACUGGCUUUUUGGUUUUGGCUUGAUGACCUAUAAAGAAAAGGACUGUUCCAUAGCAAAAUGAAUGAUGAAGCCCAUGGCUGCACCUAUGGCAUAUGGAAGUUUGGGGCCAGGGAAUGAAUCCUAGCUGCAGCUGUGGCAAUGCUAGAUCCUUUAACUCACUGUGUUAGGCUGAGGAUUGGAGCCGCACCUCUGCAUCAACCUGAGCCACGGCAGUCAGAUUUUUAACUCACUGCACCAUGGCAGGAACUCCAAAAUUGUUAUUUUUUGUUUUAAAUUAAGCCAAAGGAGGCUGAUAAUUUCCAAAAAGAAAUGUUGAUUCCCAUCCCAAUCUAAAUGUGAUCUCACUAGCCAUUUUGCAUAGGAUUGACUUCAUUGUUGCAUGGCAAGAUUCUAAAGGCCACAGAGUAUCCACAAAGCUCUAUCACUGACACCAAUAAUUGUUGUGUAAAGGGUGAUAAUGAUUCCCAGCUGACAAUGUACAAAUAUAAUUUCUUACUGCAAAUGUUCUCUUAUAAUUCUCUGUUGGAGGAUGGGGAGCCAUAUAAAAACAUAGCAGUUUGCAUGGACAAACAUCAUUUUGCUCAUUGUAAUUACUGCAGCCAGUCUUAGUAUAGUCUCAGUAGUGGAAUUUCCACCAUAUGAAAGAGGUUUUGCUCUCCUCAGUAGUAUUCAGGACAGAUGGAAUUGAAUUGUUCAUUCUGUGCCUCUUUGGAAUAUUACAGACUUCACAUUAAUACCAUGAGGUAUGGUUCUAAGAUCUAUUGAAAACAAAAGUUUACUUGAGAAAAGACUAGUUUUAUUAUGGUCACUUUUCUGACUUUAACCGUCUUUUUAGUUGACUUUUAACUAUUGUCUGAUACUGAACAAUUGACCUUUAUCUUCUUCCCUUAGAAGACUAGAAUUAAAAAUAUUUAUGGUUUGCAGUAAUGCAUUCACUUCUGUGGAGAAAUGUUGCCAAUUGGUGUUUUUCUCCUCUUUUUCAAAAGAUGAUUACAUGUUCACAAUUUACAAGGUAUUGUACACAUUUCAGCAGGAAAUUGUAAGCCUUUAUCUUUUGACAGCAAGAAGGAAUUACUGCCCUUUUUUAAAUAGCCUCCCUAUUUUGUCCAAAUAAAUGAUUCAUGCUGGAGACUUCAUGAUGUCUUUUGUUGGUUUCUGUGAAUUUCAACACAGGCAGUCAAAAGGGAAAAGAAGUAAUGCAUUUCUGAAAAUUUCAGAAAAUUAUAGGUUUUAUAUGGGAAGGAGGAUGCAUUCAAAUAUCUUUAGUCCUGGUUUCUUCUUCCUUCUAUGCUUUAUUAACGCAAAGCUUAGAGCAAGGAAAAGAAAAUAAAUGAGAGGGUAGGAAAUGAAUAUUUUCCUUUUCUCUCCAAGGACUGCUCAGUGCUCAGUUUCCUUAUCCUCAUAAGAGUAAAAGAAAUCAAGAGAUGGCUGCAGCCAUGUUGCCUAACACUUUCCUCAGUAUCAGAAAACUCCUCCUUAUUUAAAAAUAAUAGUAUGUUGAAGUUCCCACUGUGAUGCAAUGGGAUCAGUGGUGUCUCUGCAGUGUCAGGACACAGGUUCAAUCUCCAAACCAGCCCAGCAGUUAAAGGAUCUGGUAUUGCCACAGCUGUGAUGUAGGUAGAAGUUGUGGCUGAGAUCUGAUCCCUGGCCCGGGAUUAUGCCAUGGGUAGCCGAAAAAGAAAAAAAAAACAAAUAAACAAACAAAUGUGGAUUUGCUAGUUUGCCUUCUUCCAGAAGUUUCUGAACAUAUUUUUUAGUUAAACAAUUUAAAAAACCCACUUCUGUUAAGUUUAUACAGUAACAUUAUUUUUGCUGCUCUCUUAUUUGUAGUUUACUUGAACUCUUUCAUCUCUUGGACAUACAUAGUUGACAGGUGACUUAGAUGUCCUCUCAUCUCCAUAACUUUAUACUUUUGCACAUAGCAAAUUCUUUUGGAGCUUCCAUUAGUGGACCAGUAAGCAGUGGAUUAAAGUUUGCAAUAUUUUAGAGUUCCCUGGUGGACUAGUGCUUAAGGAUCCAGCAUUGUCACUGCUGUGACUUGGGCCACUGUUGUGGCAUGU